Molecule: long non-coding RNA, 1407 nt
Filed under: Sus scrofa (pig)
Lineage: Eukaryota; Metazoa; Chordata; Mammalia; Artiodactyla; Suidae
Description: lncRNA (ENSSSCG00030041746.1)
Source: RNAcentral
GUAACAAACCCGACCAGUAUCCAUGAGAACUCCGUUUUGAUCCCUGGCCUUGUUCAGUGGGUUAAGGAUACGAUGUUGCUUCAAACUGUGGUGUAGGCUGGCAGUUGCAGGUCUGAUUGGACCCCUAGCCUGUGAACUUCCAUAUGCUGCAGGUGUGGCCAUAAAAAAGAAAAAAAAAAAAGAAAAAUGUACUAAAAGACAGACUUUGUAACAAUGUAAUUGCAGGCAUGACAUCCCAUCAUUUGCCAUAUUCUAUUGGUUAGAAACAGGUCAAAAGUCCCAGAGACAGUCAAGGGGAGGGGGGUCAUAAAAGGACAUAAAUAUUAGAAGAUGAGGAUUAUUGGGGGUCAUCUUAUUUUUUCUGCCACAGAAGGGAACUUGCUUAGCCCAAUAAAGAGCAUUUAUGAAAAACCUAUAAAUAACAUCUUAAUGGUGAAAGAAUGACUGCCUUCCUCCAAGAUUGGGAGCAAGGAGUUCCCUGGCGGCUCAGCAGAAGGUAAGUAUGUCUCUGCUCUCACCAUUUCUGUUCAACAUUGUACUAGAGAUGAUAGCUAGUGCAAUUAGGGGGAAAAAAAAGACAUCUGCAUUGGAAAGGAAGAAAUAAAGCUGUCUUGGGGUUCCCGUGGUGCAGCAGAAACGAAUCCGACUAGGAACCAUGAGGUUGCGGGUUCGAUCUCUGGCCUCAUGGGUUAAGGAUCCGGCGUUGCUGUGAGCUGUGGUGUAGGUUGCGGAUGCAGCCUUCCUCCAUAUGCUGUGGGAGCGGCUCAAGAAAUGGCAAAAAGACAAUAAAAUAAAAUACUAAAUGUGGAGUUCCUGUUGUGGUGCAAUGGAAACAAAUCCGACUAGGAACCAUGAACCAUGAGGUUUCGGGUUUGAUCCCUAGCCUUGCUCAGUGGAUUAAGGAUCCAGCGUUGCUGUGAGCUGUGGUGUAGGUCGCAGACUUGACUCAGAUCUGUCGUUGCUGUGCCUGUGAUGUAGGCCAGCGGCUACAGCUUCCAUUCCACCCCUAGCCUGGGAACCUCCAUAUGGUGUGGGUGCGGCCCUAAAAAGACCAAAAAAAAAAUCCCUAUGAACCUCAGGGAACCUCUCAGUCAAACCAUAGGACUUCUAGGAAGCUUAAAAAUCUUGUCCUUCAGUCAUCUUAGCAAGAGCCCAAGGUAGAAAGUGUUUAUCUUGAAAAGAUCUCUGGGAGUUGUGGCUCAGCAGAAACGAAUCAGACUACGAACCAUGAGGUUGUGGGUUCGAACCAGCAUUGCCGUGAGCUGUGGUCUAGGUCAUAGAUGCGGCUCGGAUCUGGCAUUGCUGUGGCUGUGGUGUAGGCCAGCAGCUGUAGCUCCGAUUGGACCCCUAGCCUGGGAACCUCCAUAUGCUGAAUGUGCAGCCCUAAAAAGCAAAUAAAAUAAAAAA